RNAcentral lists this ribosomal RNA (255 nucleotides) under uncultured bacterium. RNAcentral's name for it is "partial 16S ribosomal RNA". It matches the Rfam family "Bacterial small subunit ribosomal RNA", at positions 99 to 354 of the family's 1533-position model. The record is from RNAcentral.
CGGACGGGUGAGUGACGCGUGGGUAACCUGCCCUAUACAGGGGGAUAACAGUUAGAAAUGACUGCUAAUACCGCAUAAGCGCACAGGACCGCAUGGUUCGGUGUGAAAAACUGAGGUGGUAUAGGAUGGACCCGCGUCUGAUUAGCUUGUUGGUGGGGUAACGGCUCACCAAGGCGACGAUCAGUAGCCGGCCUGAGAGGGCGACCGGCCACAUUGGGACUGAGACACGGCCCAAACUCCUACGGGAGGCAGCAG